GGGGAAUAUUGCACAAUGGGCGAAAGCCUGAUGCAGCGACGCCGCGUGAGGGAUGACGGCCUUCGGGUUGUAAACCUCUUUCAGCAGGGAAGAAGCGAGAGUGACGGUACCUGCAGAAGAAGCACCGGCUAACUACGUGCCAGCAGCCGCGGUAAUACGUAGGGUGCGAGCGUUGUCCGGAAUUAUUGGGCGUAAAGAGCUCGUAGGCGGCUUGUCACGUCGGAUGUGAAAGCCCGGGGCUUAACCCCGGGUCUGCAUUCGAUACGGGCAGGCUAGAGUUCGGUAGGGGAGAUCGGAAUUCCUGGUGUAGCGGUGAAAUGCGCAGAUAUCAGGAGGAACACCGGUGGCGAAGGCGGAUCUCUGGGCCGAUACUGACGCUGAGGAGCGAAAGCGUGGGGAGCGAAC
This 405-nucleotide ribosomal RNA is filed under the name uncultured bacterium. RNAcentral describes it as "bacterial SSU rRNA". It matches the Rfam family "Bacterial small subunit ribosomal RNA", at positions 356 to 773 of the family's 1533-position model. The record is from RNAcentral.